AAGGACUUAAGUUAAAUAAACUACUAACCUUCAAAGUUAUAAAUAAAGAAUAUUUUAGGCCUUA
This 64-nucleotide transfer RNA is filed under the name Paragavialidium hainanense. RNAcentral describes it as "tRNA-Trp". The record is from RNAcentral. Lineage: Eukaryota; Metazoa; Arthropoda; Insecta; Orthoptera; Tetrigidae. RNAcentral also lists the same sequence under 1 other name.